CUGCUGCCAAUUUUUGACCGUAAAACUUCCAUCAGGAUAUGAAAACAGAGCAAAACAGAGUACGGGUGUGCAUGAAACCGAAAAAACUGAUCCGUAACCGAAGAAAUCAAACCGAAAUAACUGCUGGUUUAGUUUUAUGUUUUAUGAAAGAAAAAACAAUUUUUUUUGUUUGAUUUCGGUUUUUAUGUAAUUAAAAGAAAAAAAAAAACCGAACCCGAACCAAAUUUUUAAGUUAUUUUGUUGAACGACAACUUUUAUUAGAAACAAAACCGCUAGCAAGCAACAAGUGAGAAAAUUUUUAAUGUUAAAUAAUUGAUAAAAAUUUAAUAAAUGGUGUAACUUGGUGUUUCUUCGUAACCCCGAAUAUUAGAGCAAUAAUCUACAUUAAUCAAUUAAUAUUUUUAACUAAGAAAAAGAUUUAGUAAUUGUGUUUCAGACCCCAAAAAUCCAAAAUCAUCAUUUUGCUACAAUUCUUUUUCCGGAAAAUUUUUUUAAGCAAAAAUGGUAAAACCAAAACCAAACCUAAACUGAGAAAACCAUAACGGACCCAAGCACACCUCUAAAGCAGAGUAAUAUAAAGUAGAGAUGAGCGUGAUACCGGUACCGGCAUCGAAAAGCACACCUCUAAAGCAGAGUAAUAUAAAGUAGAGAUGAGCGUGAUACCGGUACCGGCAUCGAAAAUCGUCAAAACCGGAUAACGGUACCGGUAUCGAAAAUGUUCGGUACUGUACGGUACGGCAGGGCUGGCCCAGAGCAAGUGUCAGGUGGGCGACCGCUCUGAGCCCAAAUCGAAAUAGGGCCCGAAAAAAAUUAUAAAUUUUUUUUAUAUAUUUUUUAGAAAAAAAAAUAUGUAUUUAGAAAAAACUUAAAAUGGCCUGGAUUUAUGAACCAAAAUCGUUGGCAUGUUUAAAAAAGAAAACUUAAAGGGCAUGGAUUUAUGAACCAAUAUCGUUAAAUGCCAACUGUUUUUGUCAAUCAAAUUAGAAGCACAACUAUUUUAGUGUGUAAUGAAUUAAUAAACAGGGCUAUUUUUUUGGUGUGAUUCCGGAGACAACCUUGCGAUACGAUUCCGGUAUUUAAAGAGGAAAUGAAAAUACUGGAAUGUAUAAAAACUGCUAAACACUUACCAGUAGCUGUCGAAACCGGAAGCGGGUGGUGGCUCGAAACCAGAAUCGGAGACCACCCAAAUGAAACCGGGUCGGAUCCUGUGGGAGAAGAAGAAGAAGAUGGAGGAUUCAUUGAAGUUGAAUAGAGAGUGAAAAUGUAAAUGGUCGGUGAGAGUGAUGAAAAUCGGGUAUAUAUAGGUAUCGUGUAGAAAUAUCUGGUUAGAAUGGCGGUUAAGUCCACCAAUGGUAGUUGACAGCAUGUCAGUGUCGGAAGCAUCUACGUUGGUGAUUCUCUGACAGAUAUUUUUUGAGGAAGUGGUUUUAGCCAAUCAGGGUUUAGGAAGAAGGGUUGAGGAUUUUGUGGCGGUUACGUGUGGACCCAUGCAAGUGGACUUGUAAACCUUACGUAUUAAGCAAAACGUGAUGUUAAUUUAUUUUAAAUAUAUUUAAGUUAAUGUUUAAAGUAAGUAAAACCUAUAAAUAUAUUUAAUUAGGGUCGUUGUGAUAUGCGCGUUACGACAGAAAGCGGGUUGGAAUUCAGUACGUAUCGUAUACAGUUACAAUUGAUGAAUAAUUUCAUAAUGUUAAACAAAAUGAUAUCUAAAUGUAUUAUGUUAUUUACGUCGUAACUCAGCUUUAGACAUUAAAUAAUAAGAAAAGGUAAAACAAUAAGGUAAAUAAAAAAGGUAAGGAUAAGAACUCGGUCGGUUUCAGUGCAAUCUCUAUAGUAAACGAAAAAAGAAAAGUUCAAAAUACGUCCAAAAAGGUAUCGCGCGUGUUCAGUUUGUUAAAAUCAUUUCAAAAGCUUAAAAUGAUUUUCCGUACCUGUAUCAGUUCUGUUCGUUAUAAAAAAAGAAAAACGCUAAAAACCUAAACUAAAAAGGCAAAAAAAAAAACAUAAGUUAGCAAAAAUUAACUGGUGCAAAAGUUUCACAUUAGCCAAUGAUCUCUAGAUCAAGUGGUGGAAGGCUUGCAUUUCUUUUGAGAGAUGCAAGUUCAACUCUCACUUGGUGCAGAGUGAGGCAUUAAUGGGCAAUGAUAGAAGACCCGGGGAAACUUGAGUUCGAUCCUUGAGCCAAACUGGUUUUACCGGUAAUUUCACCGUCGUGCCUACGGGCGGGUGGGUUACCGGGUUUUCCCCAGAAUUGGUGGUGGACUCGGGUUACUAUCGGAGUAUUCCAUUUGGUCUAGUGGGUGCCCCGAGAGUGCUCGGGAUUGAUUCUAUUGGUCGUUAAAAAAAGGUUCACAUUAGCAUUUAAACACUAUUAAACUUCUUAUGUUCUAUAGAGAUAAUUAAUUUAUAAAAUCUUAAAGAGAAAUGUCGGUAGGUAGACCAAAUGACUACAUCUGCCCUCACCCAACAACCAAAUUACAAAACUACCUCUUUUAAUCAUACCAAACCCUAAUCCUGGCCAUGAUCUGAAGGUUUCUUUCUCUAUACAAUCAUCGCCUCUCUUUGGUCUCCCUCUUUAAUCACCGCCACAACACAACAACUGGUCGGGUCAUCGUCCUCUCCUUAACCAAGCCGUAGAGAGAAGACGGUGGUUUUGCGGUGGUGCAGCGACGACAACGGUUGUUGUUUUAUUAAAAGCAACGACGACGACGAUGCUAGCGGCUAAAGUUCAGAUCCAAGAAUCAAUUUGCUUACAUGGUGAUGUUGGAAAAAAAACCCAGCGGUCGCUUCUCCAUCUCCGAUUACCCCUUCAGCCGACCACCGUCAUCGCCGGACACUAACCUUUCCGACCACCAACUACACACCACUGGCCGAGACUCAUUAACGACACCACCGACCACUGUCGAACUCCGAUUAACCAGCAAAGUGCUAUAAUUUAUCUAUUACUCAGUUAAGGGAAUCCAGGUAUGAAGCUUGAACUUUUAUUUGUCAAUAAAGUUGUUCCCUUAUUAUUGUUGCACAAAUUGAAUGUUAUUUGGUGAUGUAAAAGGGGGUUAUUGAAGGUAACUGAUAGUAAUUCGUAUUUGAGUAUAGAGAAAGUGCAGUAGAUACAUCAACAUGGUUCGAAUUAUGAUGAAAUUGGAUAGUGAAGGUAUAUUGUGCGGAAAUUGGUUUGGAAUUGAGACAGAUUGCAAAACAGGGAGUUAGGUGCGAUUAGAGUGAUUCGCUCAGUAGUUUAAGUUAAGAAGUAGUGAUUUGGGUAAAAUUAACAUGGAUAGUAUGAUGCUGGCGUUGGUUAAUAUGGGUAGUGUUUGAUGAGCUGAAUAUAGAAAGUAAAAUGAUAAGUCAAGUUGUUGGUAUUUGUUGCGAUAUAUAUAUAUGCUUAUAUAUGUGUUGGACGUAAGAAUUCGGAUAGAUGAUGCAAACCAUUUUGACCGCUUCUUGAUUUGCCAACAAACCUUUUCCCAGUUUUAACACUUAUGGCAUGAGGCUAUCUCUAAUUAUAUUCUCUCCUUCAUAGAAGCUUAUUAGGCCGAUUAGUUAGCUUAGUUAGUUGGUUCAAACCGAAUUUUCUGGUAUAACAUAAAAAGCAUGGUCGGUGACUCCAUGCUUUUUUCACGUGACCAUUGAAGUAGAACAUAGAAGUUGUACACCUGGCAAACAAGAAUUGGUAUUCGUCUUUUUCAACAUUUCAAUUCUUUUGUUUAGAUUACUUUUACGAAUUUACACUUCAACGAGCAAGACAACCACGUUAAUAUCAUAAACAUAACGUAACAAAUUAAAAAACGCAUCACGUCACAAACAGACGCCACACGUCAAUGUUAUCAUCGUAACGUGUGUAGCAAAGUCGCAAAAGCGAAGUUGCCGCCGCAACGCGCGGCACGGGUAAAAACCUAGUAUAACUAAAAGAGAAUUGUUGACUUAAUUUCUAAGUAUAUUUAUCAUCCGAAUAAUCUAUGUGAUAUGCGAGUUAAUCAAUGUCUUAAAAAUUUAUAUUAGGGUUGUGUAUUUGUUCAUGAGUUGAAGUGAACUGAGUUGGGUUACCUUGUGCAUAGAUGAAUUGAAUAUGUGAUUUAGGGCAUACAAGGGGUUGCGAGUUCAAGCCUAGAAACAAUCUAUACUAUUAUAAAAAGGAGAAGUGAUGUACACAUAUGUAAUUUUACCAUAAGUAUAAAUUUUAUAGCAUUAUGUACAACAUAAUAGAAGCCAUUAUAUUAGAAAAUAGCACAUAAUUUUAAGACACCGUGGUGGCAAUUUAGGGAUUUCACCCCUGCUUUAACUCAUUGUCGUUCUUGAACAUCAAUCGCCAUGGUUCAAUGCGACCUUUCGAUACUUGUCACUCGUCAGUUCCCAUCUCCCCUAUAACCUAAUGUUCGAUUCUUAAAGCUUCCAUCAAUGGCGAUGAAUCCCAUCUCCCCUCUGGCUUGUUUUUCGUUUCUUACCUCAAUCAACCAGAUCUUGUGAGAUGGAUAGAAUGUUCAAAAAUCUAGGGUUCAAUGUCAGAACUGCAAGGUGAAAAUGAAGAUUACAGUUGAUUUGAGAUCCUCCCACGAAGAUUCACAAAUAGAUUUGAUUACAAGACCCUAAAAUCGUUCAAGUCAGAGUAGACUUUGAUCCAUUCAAGUGAUAAAACUGCUACUCGAUUUGCCAUGUAGACCAGACACCAAACUACCAGGGUUGGUGACGAUGGGCUUUAAGGUAAAACUGAUGGCGCACUACUCUUGGAGAGAAUAAUGAUGAAAAACGUUGAGGUAAUCACAUGAUAACCAUUGAUUUGUUUUUGGUAGGAUGAAAAAUGUUGAGGUAAUCACAUGGUAAAACCGAUGGCGCACUACUCUUGGAGUGUACAUAUUUCAGUACUAAAAUCACAAGUUUACACAUUCUUAGAGUGGUUUAAUCCAUGUCUUUGACCCGUAUUAUUAUCGUUUGAAGCAAAGUUGGGUAAUCGGAGAUGAUACCAUAAAUGAAACUGCAGCUCCGUAAGCCAAUACAACUUUUAGCAACACAACUGACAGAUCCGUUGCUACUGUUUUCAAGCAGGGUUUGGCUCUUAUCAUUGGUCUAUCGGAAACUUCGUCCGAGUCGGAAGAUUCAGAAGUAGAAGAGGUUUACAAGCCUUGAAGGAUGUUUCAAAGGCAGAGAAACUGUUUAUUUCUGGUGUUUUAGAUGAGCUAAAAUUGUGCUUUAAUUAUAGCACUCAGGUAAAUGCUAAACUUGUUUUAUAAUUAGUUGAUCUUUUAAAUAACUUGCUGAAUAGUAAUAAUCAUGGUCGCAAAAGUCGCUAGGCGCUCCCUAGUCAGAGUCGGGAGUACGCGGGAAGUACUUGGCAUAGGCGGAGAGUACUCGGGGAGUAAUUUGCCUAAACGAAGAGUACUCGUGCCUCAGCAGCCUACCUUGUAGUGAGUACUCGGGGAGUACUCGGCCUUCGAGGCCUUGUUUUACAACCAUGGUAAUAAUUGUGUUUUACGCUUGCUUCUGCUGACAUUCCGUGCAUAUGUUUUCCAGAUUGCAGACAAACAUAAUUUCCUUAUUUUUGAAGACCGUAAAUUUGCCGACAUUGGCAACACAGUAACAAUGCAGUAUGAAGGAGGUAUUUUCUGUAUAUUGGAAGGGGCAGAUAUAGUGAACUUUCACAUUAUUUCAGGUCCUGGAAUCAUUGACGGGUUGAAAUUAAAGGUUUACCCGUGCAUCUGCUGCAAGUUGUGAAGGCCCUGGUUUGGGGUAUUUUGCUGCUGUUGAAGGACCUGCUGCAUAUGUUCCGUAUAAAAAAUGGUAGAAUUAGCUGCAGGCCUGAUGAUGUUAAGGAGCCCUUGUGUUCUGUUAGGGUUUGGAUCAUCAUUUUAGGAUCGGUUGUAGUGACAUUUGUUAUGAUUAUUUGAUUAGUUAGGGGUAAUUUUACAUGAUAAUGGGAACUUUUUAAACACUUAAAAGACACGCAGUUGACGA
This is a long non-coding RNA of Helianthus annuus (common sunflower), 5946 nucleotides long. RefSeq lists it as uncharacterized. NCBI's taxonomy places the organism in Eukaryota, Viridiplantae, Streptophyta, Magnoliopsida, Asterales, Asteraceae. The record is from RefSeq and is a predicted model, not a curated record. The transcript has 8 exons.